RNAcentral lists this ribosomal RNA (425 nucleotides) under uncultured bacterium. RNAcentral's name for it is "bacterial SSU rRNA". It matches the Rfam family "Bacterial small subunit ribosomal RNA", at positions 608 to 1029 of the family's 1533-position model. The record is from RNAcentral.
CUUAACCUACAGACUGCGUUUGAAACUGUAUAUCUUGAGAGCAGCAGAGGAAGGCGGAAUUCCUGGUGUAGUGGUGAAAUACGUAGAUAUCAGGAAGAACACCAGUGGCGAAGGCGGUCUUCUGGGCUGCAUCUGACGCUCAUGUACGAAAGCUGGGGUAGCGAACGGGAUUAGAUACCCCGGUAGUCCCAGCUGUAAACGAUGGACACUAGGUGUUGGCGGUUCGAAUCCGUCAGUGCCGGAGUUAACGCAUUAAGUGUCCCGCCUGGGGAAUACGGUCGCAAGACUGAAACUCAAAGGAAUUGACGGGGGCCCGCACAAGCGGUGGAGCAUGUGGUUUAAUUCGAUGCAACGCGAAGAACCUUACCGAGAAUUGACAUCCCGUGACUACCUGUGAGAGCAGGGUUUGGUACUUAGUAUCACAC